This 35-nucleotide ribosomal RNA is filed under the name Pluchea sagittalis. RNAcentral describes it as "partial 26S ribosomal RNA". The record is from RNAcentral. Lineage: Eukaryota; Viridiplantae; Streptophyta; Magnoliopsida; Asterales; Asteraceae.
CGACCCCAGGUCAGGCGGGACUACCCGCUGAGUUU